GACGGGUAGCUGGUCUGAGAGGACGAUCAGCCACACUGGAACUGAGACACGGUCCAGACUCCUACGGGAGGCAGCAGUGGGGAAUUUUGCACAAUGGGCGAAAGCCUGAUGCAGCAACGCCGCGUGUGUGAUGAAGUUUUCGGAUCGUAAAGCACUUUCGACCGGGAAGAACACCUCUUGGCUAACAUCCAAGGGCCUGACGGUACCGGGAGAAGAAGCACCGGCUAACUCUGUGCCAGCAGCCGCGGUAAUACAGAGGGUGCAAGCGUUGUUCGGAAUUAUUGGGCGUAAAGCGCGUGUAGGCGGCUUUGCAAGUCGGGUGUGAAAGCCCUCAGCUUAACUGAGGAAGUGCGCCCGAAACUGCUUAGCUUGAGUACCGGAGAGGAUGGCGGAAUUCCCCAAGUAGAGGUGAAAUUCGUAGAUAUGGGGAGGAACACCGGUGGCGAAGGCGGCCAUCUGGACGGAUACUGACGCUGAGACGCGAAAGCGUGGGUAGCAAACAGGAUUAGAUACCCUGGUAGUCCACGCCGUAAACGAUGAGAACUAGGUGUCGUGGGUGUUGACCCCCGCGGUGCCGUAGCUAACGCAUUAAGUUCUCCGCCUGGGAAGUACGGCCGCAAGGCUAAAACUCAAAGGAAUUGACGGGGGCCCGCACAAGCGGUGGAGCAUGUGGUUUAAUUCGACCACGCGCAGAACCUUACCUGGUCUUGACAUCCUAGGAACCUGCCAGAGAUGGCGGGGUGCCCGCAAGGGAACCUAGAGACAGGUGCUGCAUGGCUGUCGUCAGCUCGUGUCGUGAGAUGUUGGGUUAAGUCCCGCAACGAGCGCAACCCUCGCCUUUAGUUGCCGCCCUAAAAAGCGGAUCUCUAGAGGGACUGCCGGUGUUAAACCGGAGGAAGGUGGGGAUGACGUCAAGUCCUCAUGGCCUUUAUGACCAGGGCUACACACGUGCUACAAUGGCCGGUACAAAGCGCUGCUAACUCGCGAGAGGGAGCCAAUCGCAUAAAACCGGUCUCAGUUCGGAUUGGAGUCUGCAACUCGACUCCAUGAAGUCGGAAUCGCUAGUAAUCGAAGAUCAGCACGCUUCGGUGAAUACGUUCCCGGGCCUUGUACACACCGCCCGUCACACCAUGGGAGUCAAUUGCUCCAGAAGUCGAUGUGCCAACCGCAAGGAGGCAGUCGCCCAAGGAGUGAUUGGUAACUGGGGUGAAGUCGUAACAAGGUA
RNAcentral lists this ribosomal RNA (1225 nucleotides) under metagenome. RNAcentral's name for it is "bacterial SSU rRNA". It matches the Rfam family "Bacterial small subunit ribosomal RNA", at positions 278 to 1498 of the family's 1533-position model. The record is from RNAcentral.